Molecule: long non-coding RNA, 1794 nt
Organism: Rosa chinensis
Lineage: Eukaryota; Viridiplantae; Streptophyta; Magnoliopsida; Rosales; Rosaceae
Exons: 10
Source: RefSeq, a predicted model, not a curated record
ACUAGAAUUAUGCCAUUAGACAUCACCACUAUUAAAUCGGUCGGAAUUGCACGCGAUGUAAAAAAUGCAUGCUAACAUCAGUUUGUAAAAAAUCGAUUUCUAUUGUGAUUAUAAACAUCGGUCGUUAAAUUAACUGAUGUGUAAAGUCUUGUUCAAAAAUUUUGAAAAAACGCGGAGGGACUAACUUAAAACAUUUGAGAGGCGCGGGGACUAAAUUUUCAUUCCCCCCAACACUUUGUAUUUUCAGAAGCCAACCCUAGCUAAAGCAGCCUCUCCCACUUUCACUUCGCGCAGUUCCUUCACCUUACCCGACCUCGUUCUCCCCAACCUGGUUCUACGACCGGAGCUCGUUCUCCGACCCGACCUCGUCCUCCCCGACGUCAUUCUACGACCUGAGCUCGUUCUCCGACCCGAUCUCGUCCUUCAACGACCCGAGCCACCUUCAGCUCCUUCACCGACCCAGAACUGCCUCGAUCGACCACGACCACGAUCUCCUUCAGCGAGCUCCUCCGACCUCUUUGUAUGACCUGAGCUCGUUCUCCGACCCGACCUCGUCCUUCAACGAUCCGAGCCACCUUCAGCUCCUUCAUCGACCCAGAACAGCCUCGAUCGACCACGACCACGAACUCCUUCAGCGAGCUCAUUCAAUGACCUGACCACGAACUCAUUCUCCCACCUGAGCUCGUCAUUGUCCGACUUGAGCCGGCUUGAGGUAGUUCUCCGAUCGCCACCAUCGUAGUGGGGAGUUUGAAGGCUAGGACCUAUUAAUUUGGAAUCAAAAAAGUAAAAUCAAAAUGCCGUGAAACAGGAACUGUGUUGUUUGGUGGUGUUGCUCCGCGCCAUACUGUAAUUGUAUUCACUCGGUGGGUUUGCUUUGAAGAGAGAAAUUGCAGGACAGUGAUUGGAAGAAGAAUUCAGUGUUCAGCACAAGCACCACCUCCAGCUUGGCUAGGAAGUGCUUUUCCGGAGCCGGGCCAGAGGACUUGAGAUGGUCCAAAAGCCUAGUUCUGUUGUUGGAUCUACUGGUUCCAUUGGAACCCAGACAUUGGACAUUGUUGCAGAGAACCCGAAAAAAUUCAGAGUUGUGGCCCUAGUAGCUGGCUCAAAUGUGUAUCUUCUUGUUGAUCAGGUAAUCCAUCAGAUGGAUAAAAUUUCAUAGAAUUGUUCAUAUUGUCAUCUGAUCAGUGAGGGAUUCAAAGAAUAAAGCUGGUCAAGGAGGCCGUGGGGGUGGAAGUGGAUAUGGAUAUGGGCGAGGCCGUGGCGGUGGUAGAUACAAUUGUGAUUCAGCCAAUAAUGAAAACAACAGUGGGUACAAUCGUGAAUCAGCCCCUGCUGGUCAGGGUGCUUUUAAGGAUGCACCUCCUAAACGGCGUUUCUCUGGUGGGGAUGGUGAUGGAAGGCCAUUUGAAAGGCGUGGCUAUGUAACUUACUUUAUAAUGAAUCCUACAAGGCUUGCAUUCAUUCGCUCAACACUGUGCCGUCAUUUCAGGAGGGACCCAUUAUCUGCUAGGCCCUUUGAAGGGCUCAAAUUUAUUGAUGUUGGCUGUGGAGGUGGAAUUCUUUCUGAGAGACAGUAUCCAUCACAUUGACAUUUCUAUUGCCCUACAAGAGCAUCCUUUAGCUCGGAUGAGAGCUGCUGUAACAGGAGUUGAUGCUGUUAAGAAAAAUAUCAAGAUAGCUCGCUUUCACUCAGACUUGGAUCCAGUGACCUCAAAACUUGAAUGUCAAUGCACUACAGCUGUGCGGUUAAAAGUUACAAUGCUGAAAAGGGGAGGGCUAACAAAGUGCCUAAAU